UGCCCAGCAACUCUUAUCCCUACCUUCUCGCAGUACUGACCGGGGUACGAGCAACCUUAGGGAAGAUCGGAUAACCAACCACGGUGGGAUCUUUGGUCGUAUGCUGACAGGAAAG
Molecule: ribozyme, 115 nt
Filed under: Aedes aegypti (yellow fever mosquito)
Lineage: Eukaryota; Metazoa; Arthropoda; Insecta; Diptera; Culicidae
Description: drz-agam-1 ribozyme
Rfam family: drz-agam-1 ribozyme
Source: Rfam by way of RNAcentral